CUCAAUGAAAAUUAAAUAGCCGCAAUAUUUUGUGCUAAGGUAGCAUAAUCAUUUGUUUUUUAAUUAAAAACUAGAAUGAAAGAUUCAACAAUUUUAUUUCUCUCUCACAUAUAAUAAUUCAACUUAUUUUAAUUAUAAAAAAAUAAUUAUAAAUAAAAAAGACGAUAAGACCCUAUUGAACUUAACUAAAGUUUAACUGGGGUAGUUAAUUAAAUACAAUUUUAAUUUCAAUCUAAAACUAACCUAAUAUAAUUAAAAUAAUCAAGUUACCAUAGGGAUAACAGCGUAAUAAUUUUCUCAAGACCUUAUUUAAAAAAUUGUUUACGACCUCGAUGUUGAAUUAAUAAUCUAUUAAAUGCAAUAAUUUAAAAAGAAAGUC
RNAcentral lists this ribosomal RNA (379 nucleotides) under Lineacoelotes bicultratus. Its description in RNAcentral is "partial 16S ribosomal RNA". Lineage: Eukaryota; Metazoa; Arthropoda; Arachnida; Araneae; Agelenidae. The record is from RNAcentral.